RNAcentral lists this transfer RNA (73 nucleotides) under Nostoc sp. RNAcentral describes it as "tRNA-Pro". It matches the Rfam family "tRNA". From Rfam's summary of the family: Transfer RNA (tRNA) molecules are approximately 80 nucleotides in length. Their secondary structure includes four short double-helical elements and three loops (D, anti-codon, and T loops). Lineage: Bacteria; Bacillati; Cyanobacteriota; Cyanophyceae; Nostocales; Nostocaceae. The record is from RNAcentral. RNAcentral also lists the same sequence under 2 other names.
CGGGAUGUAAUUCAGUGGCGAGAAGCCAUGCUUUGGGAGCAUGGAGUCGCAGGUUCGAGUCCUGCCAUCCCGA